This 678-nucleotide ribosomal RNA is filed under the name Lepraria lobificans. Its description in RNAcentral is "mitochondrial SSU rRNA". It matches the Rfam family "Bacterial small subunit ribosomal RNA", at positions 576 to 1284 of the family's 1533-position model. The record is from RNAcentral. Lineage: Eukaryota; Fungi; Ascomycota; Lecanoromycetes; Lecanorales; Stereocaulaceae.
CGGUAGAUCAAGCCUUCGCAGGGACUAAUUUACUAGAGUUACUUACGAGGGGGUAUUAAAGUACUGCAGGUGUAGGGAUGAAAUUCUGUCAUACCUCUUUUCGAAAGAAAAAUUAUGGCACAGGUAUAGGUGAAAGCAUCCCCUUAUGUGAUAACUGACGUUGAAGGACGAAGGCUUUGUGUCGCGAACAGGAUUAGAUACCCCAGUAGUCAAAGCAGAAAAUGAUGAAUGUCAUAGAUUAGAUAAAUAGUUUAUUCUAUAAAUGAAAAUGUAAGCAUUCCACCUCAAGAGUAAUUUGGCAACAUUGGAACUGAAAUCAUUAGACCGUUUCUGAAACCAGUAGUGAAGUAUGUUGUUUAAUUUGAUGAUCCGCAAAAAACCUUACCACAAUUUGAAUAUUUAUAUCUAUCUUCUUUUUUCGUAAAAAAAUAAAAAGGUAAUAUAUUUACAAGCGUUGCACGGCUGUCUUCAGUUAAUGUCGCGAGACUUUGGUUAGUUCCAUUAAAUUAACGUAAACCCUUACUUUAUUUUUAUAUAAAGUAGUUCCCCGCUAUAUUGGAUAUGAUAACAGGGACUAAGACAAGUCAUCAUGGCCUGAAUAUUGUGGGCUAUAGACGUGCCACAUAAACCUUACAAAAGGGUGUGAAAUUGUGAAAUUGAGCUAAUCCCCCAAAAAUG